This 459-nucleotide ribosomal RNA is filed under the name uncultured bacterium. RNAcentral describes it as "partial 16S ribosomal RNA". It matches the Rfam family "Bacterial small subunit ribosomal RNA", at positions 338 to 795 of the family's 1533-position model. The record is from RNAcentral.
CCUACGGGAGGCAGCAGUGAGGAAUAUUGGUCAAUGGGCGCGAGCCUGAACCAGCCAAGUCGCGUGAGGGAAGACGGUCCUAUGGAUUGUAAACCUCUUUUGUCGGGGAGCAAAAGACGCCACGCGUGGCGUUCCGAGAGUACCCGAAGAAAAAGCAUCGGCCAACUCCGUGCCAGCAGCCGCGGUAAUACGGAGGAUGCGAGCGUUAUCCGGAUUUAUUGGGUUAAAAGGGUGCGCAGGCGGAAGAUCAAGUCAGCGGGAAAAUUGAGAGGCUCAACCUCGUCGAGCCGUUGAAACUGGUUUUCUUGAGUGAGUGAGAGGUAUGCGGAAUGCGUGGUGUAGCGGUGAAAUGCAUAGAUAUCACGCAGAACUCCGAUUGCGAAGGCAGCAUACCGGCGCUCAACUGACGCUCAUGCACGAAAGUGUGGGUAUCGAACAGGAUUAGAUACCCGGGUAGUC